This 573-nucleotide ribosomal RNA is filed under the name uncultured Flavobacteriia bacterium. Its description in RNAcentral is "bacterial SSU rRNA". It matches the Rfam family "Bacterial small subunit ribosomal RNA", at positions 8 to 570 of the family's 1533-position model. Lineage: Bacteria; Pseudomonadati; Bacteroidota; Flavobacteriia. The record is from RNAcentral.
AGGGUUUGAUCAUGGCUCAGGAUGAACGCUAGCGGCAGGCCUAACACAUGCAAGUCGAGGGGCAGCAUAAUUAGUCGUAAGAUUAAUGGUGGCGACCGGCGCACGGGUGCGUAACGCGUAUGCAACCUACCUUUUACUGGGGUAUAGCCCGAAGAAAUUCGGAUUAAUCCCCCAUAGCACUGAGCAUUCGCAUGAAUAAUCAGUUAAAGUUUCGGCGGUAAAAGAUGGGCAUGCGUCCUAUUAGCUAGAUGGUAAGGUAACGGCUUACCAUGGCUACGAUAGGUAGGGGGCCUGAGAGGGUGGUCCCCCACACUGGUACUGAGACACGGACCAGACUCCUACGGGAGGCAGCAGUGAGGAAUAUUGGUCAAUGGGCGCAAGCCUGAACCAGCCCAUGCCGCGUGCAGGAAGAAUGUCCUAUGGAUUGUAAACUGCUUUUAUUUGGGAAUAAACCCCCCGACGUGUCGGGGUCUAAAGGUACCAAAUGAAUAAGCACCGGCUAACUCCGUGCCAGCAGCCGCAGUAAUACGGAGGGUGCAAGCGUUAUCUGGAAUCCUUGGGUUUAAAGGGUCC